Molecule: ribosomal RNA, 441 nt
Filed under: Triticum aestivum (bread wheat)
Lineage: Eukaryota; Viridiplantae; Streptophyta; Magnoliopsida; Poales; Poaceae
Description: partial small subunit ribosomal RNA
Source: RNAcentral
AUGGACCAAUCCAUCCCUUUUUCCCAUGCAUAUGCAUCGGACUCGGAUGACGAUGGUCCCGAUGAAGAAGUUGAUGAGGAGGGGUUCACGCCGAAGGAGGCCGAAGCAUUCAAGAAGGUAUUCGGGCGGGAUCACAAGACACCAUUGUUCAAGGAUCUUAGUCUCGCGGAUGAAGCCGUUGUGGAUGGUGGCAAAUGCAUAUCUCUUGGAGCUAGGCCAAGUUCUCACCGUGAUUUGGAAGACGGCAAGAACGGGAUAUAUCCCGGUUGUGAGUUUCAAUCCUUCUUGGAAUUGAAGAUGUGGCUCGACAACUACUCGGUUACACAUUAUCGUCCACAUAAAGUGGCCAACUCGGAUGUUAAUGUGCGUUACACGGUCAAAUGUGAAGUGCCAACAUGUCCAUGGAUUGUGCGUGCAAGGCCAUGGAAAGGAGGUCCCUGA